AUUGAACGCUGGCGGCAGGCCUAACACAUGCAAGUCGAGCGGAUGAAGGGAGCUUGCUCCUGGAUUCAGCGGCGGACGGGUGAGUAAUGCCUAGGAAUCUGCCUGGUAGUGGGGGAUAACGUCCGGAAACGGGCGCUAAUACCGCAUACGUCCUGAGGGAGAAAGUGGGGGAUCUUCGGACCUCACGCUAUCAGAUGAGCCUAGGUCGGAUUAGCUAGUUGGUGGGGUAAAGGCCUACCAAGGCGACGAUCCGUAACUGGUCUGAGAGGAUGAUCAGUCACACUGGAACUGAGACACGGUCCAGACUCCUACGGGAGGCAGCAGUGGGGAAUAUUGGACAAUGGGCGAAAGCCUGAUCCAGGAAUGCCGCGUGUGUGAAGAAGGUCUUCGGAUUGUAAAGCACUUUAAGUUGGGAGGAAGGGCAGUAAGUUAAUACCUUGCUGUUUUGACGUUACCAACAGAAUAAGCACCGGCUAACUUCGUG
This 484-nucleotide ribosomal RNA is filed under the name uncultured bacterium. RNAcentral's name for it is "partial 16S ribosomal RNA". It matches the Rfam family "Bacterial small subunit ribosomal RNA", at positions 30 to 507 of the family's 1533-position model. The record is from RNAcentral.